Lagenorhynchus albirostris (white-beaked dolphin) is the source of this 73-nucleotide non-coding RNA. NCBI's taxonomy places the organism in Eukaryota, Metazoa, Chordata, Mammalia, Artiodactyla, Delphinidae. The record is from the annotation of a RefSeq genome assembly.
GCCUGGCUAGCUCAAUUGGUAGCACAUGAGACUCUUAAUCUCAGGGUCGUGGGUUGGAGCCCCACGUUAGACA